AUGCUCGGUUAUGCAGUUCAAAAAUUUAAAAGGUAUUUUACAAGUUUGUGUUCUCCUCUUAUGCCCCCACGAUUGGACCAUAAUAUGAACAUGAUUAAAUAUGACGGUCAGUACAUUCAUUGUUUCUGUUUGAGCUUUUCACCACAGUCCACUCCUAUUGUAUUUCUUGUAUCUCAGGCUAUUCUGGUUCAUUACUCUCUACUUCUUUAUUUGUACCUUUUACCUCAACUUUCUCAGGCUUCUUUGUCUUCCAUAUGUGUUUCUUUGGUUGCAUGA
This is a non-coding RNA of Vicia faba (fava bean), 276 nucleotides long. The record is from the annotation of a GenBank genome assembly. Lineage: Eukaryota; Viridiplantae; Streptophyta; Magnoliopsida; Fabales; Fabaceae.